GUGGUAAGGAACAGAGUAUAAAAUAAAAACAAAAAGACACAAAAGAGUCUUUUAUGUUUUAAAAGAAAAAACAAGCACCAUUUAGGUUGCUGUAAUACCAUGAAAAAAAUGGUAAGGCGUGCUGCAAUAAUAUCAGUAGAAAAUGUGCUUAAAAAAAAAAAUUAAAAAGUGCAUUAAAUUAUGUUAUGGUAUUUGAAAUGGCCAACAUAUACCAUAUAUAUAUAUGCAAAAGGAUAAAAAAAAGAGUCCUUCUUGUUAAAAAAAAAGUGGUCGAGAAAUCGACAAAAUUAAAAAAUAAAUAUAACAAAUAUUUAUUGUGGGCGUUUUUUCGAGGCCUAAAACAUCGAAAAGUCGCGGUAGUGAAAAAAAAGACCUAUCGUGACAAAUUAAAAAAAAAAACACAAUAAUAAAAAAGUUUUUGGUGGUCGUGAAAACGACAAUUCAAAAGAUAUGGCAACCAGAAAAUAAGAAUAAAACAAUUUUCUGGGGUCGAGAAAUCGACUAAGAUAUUGUGUGGAAGUUACCCAGCCCUUGACGGAGAAAAGGAGAAGGAGGGACGACCUCACGGCAGCAACUACAAAUAAGUCUGCAACAACAACGACGGCCGCAGCGACGAUACAGAAACAGGCGGCAUCAGGAAAUCAUCCUACAACAAACAACGGCGGCAGCGACGACAGCAGCAGCAAAAAACAACAACAUCAAAAUUAAAGACGACGGCGGCGCGGCAGAAGCGGAAAAAGCAGCAGAAUUAGGAGUUACUUAACUCAAUAUUCCCCCGGCAGGACCUCACUUCGGAGGUAUUUAUAAAGCUGGAGUUAACGUCAUAAAAU
Non-coding RNA from Drosophila kikkawai, 830 nucleotides. NCBI's taxonomy places the organism in Eukaryota, Metazoa, Arthropoda, Insecta, Diptera, Drosophilidae. The record is from RefSeq and is a predicted model, not a curated record.